GAUGAAUUUGAUUCUAGUUCAUUAUAUAUAUUUAAAUCAAAAGAAUUAUAUACAAUUUUGUUAAUCUCUUUAUUAUAGUUAAUGAAAUUAAUUAUUAACGUAAGUUAGAAUUUGUUAUGAGCUAAGUAUUGGUAAAAAUAUGUGCCAGCAACUGCGGUUAUACUAUUGAUACAAAUAUAUAAAUUUUUAUAAUUUUAGAUUUUAUAAUUUAAGAAGUUUAAAAAAGUUUUUUUGGUGAAAUAAUAAAAAAUAUUAGAGUUCAUAUUUAAAUCUUUAAAAAUUUUUAACAAAAACUAGGAUUAGAUACCCUAUUAUUAAAUAUUUAUGAAUUAGGUAGUAAAGACUUUACUGAAACCUAAAGAAUUUGGCGGUGUUUUAACUACUUGGAGGAACCUGUUAUUUAAAUGAUAAUCCACAGCAUAUCUUUCCUAAAUUUUGUUUGUAUAUCGUUGUUUAGAUAAUAUUUUAAAAUUAUUAUCAAUUUUAGUUUUACUACAAAAAUCAAAUCAGGGUGCAGCAUAUUUGGGUUAUAAUGGGUUACAAUAUAAUUUAUGUAAAUUAUGAAUGUAAAAUGAAAACAUUAUUGAAAGUGGAUUCAAAAGUAAAAUAAAAUUAAAAAGUUUGUUUGAUUAAAAAUUUAAAACAUGCACAUAUCGCCCGUCACUCUUUCUAUUUUAAAGAAAGAUAAGUCGUAACAUAGUAGAUUUACUGGAAAGUGAAUCUAGAUUGAA
This 731-nucleotide non-coding RNA is filed under the name Scorpiops tibetanus. Lineage: Eukaryota; Metazoa; Arthropoda; Arachnida; Scorpiones; Euscorpiidae. The record is from RNAcentral.